UGGGGAAUAUUGGACAAUGGGCGAAAGCCUGAUCCAGCAAUGCCGCGUGGGUGAAGAAGGUCUUCGGAUUGUAAAGCCCUUUCGGCGGGGACGAUGAUGACGGUACCCGCAGAAGAAGCCCCGGCUAACUUCGUGCCAGCAGCCGCGGUAAUACGAAGGGGGCUAGCGUUGCUCGGAAUGACUGGGCGUAAAGGGCGCGUAGGCGGCGCACUUAGUCGGGCGUGAAAGUCCUGGGCUCAACCUGGGGACGGCGCUCGAUACGGGUGUGCUUGAGUGUGGAAGAGGGUUGUGGAAUUCCCAGUGUAGAGGUGAAAUUCGUAGAUAUUGGGAAGAACACCGGUGGCGAAGGCGGCAACCUGGUCCAUUACUGACGCUGAGGCGCGAAAGCGUGGGGAGCAAACA
RNAcentral lists this ribosomal RNA (402 nucleotides) under uncultured bacterium. RNAcentral's name for it is "bacterial SSU rRNA". It matches the Rfam family "Bacterial small subunit ribosomal RNA", at positions 355 to 774 of the family's 1533-position model. The record is from RNAcentral.